This 362-nucleotide ribosomal RNA is filed under the name Melipotis sp. BAH_28365_F11. RNAcentral's name for it is "partial 16S ribosomal RNA". The record is from RNAcentral. Lineage: Eukaryota; Metazoa; Arthropoda; Insecta; Lepidoptera; Erebidae.
UGAUUUUUAAUUAAAGGGCUGCAGUAUUUUGACUGUACAAAGGUAGCAUAAUCAUUAGUCAUUUAAUUGAUGACUUGUAUGAAAGAUUGGAUGAAAUAUAAACUGUCUCUUAAUUAAAUUAUAGAAUUUAAUUUUUUAAUUAAAAAGUUAAAAUAAAUUAAAAAGACGAGAAGACCCUAUAGAGUUUUAUAUUUAGUUGAAUUUAAAAUAUUUAUAAAAUUAAAAAUUUAAAUUUAAUAGAAUAUUUUAUUGGGGUGAUAGAAAAAUAAGAAAAACUUUUUUUAAUUAAAAACAUAUAUAAGUGAUAAUAUGAUCCAAUUUUAUUGAUUAUAAGAAAAAAUUACCUUAGGGAUAACAGCGUA